Molecule: transfer RNA, 75 nt
Filed under: marine sediment metagenome
Description: tRNA-Pro
Rfam family: tRNA
About the family: Transfer RNA (tRNA) molecules are approximately 80 nucleotides in length.
Source: RNAcentral
CGGGAUGUAGCUCAGAGGAAGAGCACCCGCUUUGGAAGCGGGAGGCCGAGAUUUCAAAAUUCUCCAUCCCGACCA